Salmo salar (Atlantic salmon) is the source of this 2121-nucleotide non-coding RNA. Lineage: Eukaryota; Metazoa; Chordata; Actinopteri; Salmoniformes; Salmonidae. The record is from RefSeq and is a predicted model, not a curated record.
GGUUUCUGGGAUAAGAGACAAUAUGUGACGGAGGAUUACUCACCAAACAGAAGUACACACAUCAUACACUAGUUAACAUGCCGUCAAGGCUAAGUCUAGCAGUACGGAUGUUUACGUUUCGGUUGGAACCAAAAUGUUCUAAUCGUUUCACUCUGAACAGAACCAUUAUUUUUGUUCUUGUUCCGUUCCACUGUUCCGACCAAAAAAUAAAGUUCUGAACCGGUUGAAACCCUAAAACACUAACGGUUUAUAUUGUUUCUUUGUUGUCACGUUUACCCCUGCUCCUCCCCUAACCCCAGUCCUGGGAUUCAUCAUUACGCACACCUGGCAUCCAUCAUUACGCACACCUGGCAUCCAUCAUUACGCGCAUCUGCAGAUCAUUAUGAUUCACACCAUUACCUUCCUCAUUACCUCCCCUUUAUCUGUCCCUCCCUUACGUUCAUUCCUCAGGUGGUUUUGUUCCUGUGUUCAUACUAUAUCGCCACUGUUACGCUGUCUCGUUUCAUGUUUGAUUAAACGUUUCACCUGCUUCUCGACUCACAGCGUCAUUGUUACAGAAUACUGACUCACAAAACUAUGGAAGCAGCAGGAAUAUCAAAUGUCUCUGACGGUCGACGAACAAGCUCAUCUUCUACGUCAACACCAUGACCAGCUGGCACAACUGGGGACGGCUAUGAAGAAGUACUUCGCAGUUUGCAACGUCUAGAACAACCCCCAGAGGCGUUGGCUUCGACUAGCGGAGGAUACUUUUUAACCAGUCGAGCCAGCACAACAACCCAUUCAGCAACCCGCUCAGGUUAGCGAGCGGGACCGGCUGCUGACCUGGGCACACACAGCUGUCGUCGCUUCACAUCCAGGUGUUUCACACUAUCCAGUCCAUCUCUGGGAAAUACUGGUGGCCCAUGAUAGCGCAGGACGUCACUCACUAUGUCAACUCCUGCUCCGUAUGUGCUCAAACCAAGUCUUCCCAGAAUGCUCCAGCAGGGAAGCUCCUGUCGCUUCCCAUGCCCGAGCAACCCUGGUCACAUCUAUCCAUUGACUUUAACCAAUCUCUCCUCUGAUGGUUUCAUCACCAUUUUGGUGGUGGUCAAUAGAUUUUCUAAAUCCGUUUUAAUCCCUCUUCCUGGUCUCCCCACUGCUCUCCAGGUCACUGAGGCACUAUUCCAGCAGGUCUUCUGGCAUUAUGGCCUUCCGGAGGACAUCGUCCCCGACCGUUGCCCCCAAUUCACAUCAUGAGUAUGGAGGGCCUUUCUGGAGAAGCUCGGGGUCAUGGUCAGCCUCAAUUCCGGGUACCGGCCUCAGUCCAACGGGCAGGUGGAAAGGGUGAACCAGGAGCUGGGGAGGUUCCUGAGGAGUCACUGUCAGGACUGGCAGGGUGAGUGGGCACGAUUCCUUCCAUGGGCAGAGUAUGCCCAGAACUAGAUACAUCACUCCUCCACUGGGUUGACCCCCUUCUAGUGUGUUCUGGUUUUUCAGCCAGCUCUGGCUCCGUGGACCCCGGGCCAGACCGACACUCCUGCGGUUGAUGAGUGGUUUGAUGCCGUCCACCGUCAAAAGGAACAGGCAGACCGCCACUGCAGUGAGACCCCAGUGUUCCACUCUGGGAUCACGUCUGGCUUCUACCAGGAACCUCCCACUCUGCCUGCCCUGCAAGAAACUGAGACCCCAGUUUGUGGGGACAUUCAAGCUUCUCCGGAGGGUCAACGAGACAUAGAGGGGAGUCCGGCGUAUGUUGUCAGAUCCCUACUGAACUACCGGCGUCGUGGGGGUCGGCUACAGUCACUGGUGGAUUGGGAGGGGUAUGGCCCAGAGGAGCGGUGUCGGGUUCCAGUGGAGGACAUUCUGGACAUCAUCUGUGACUUCCACCUUUGCCGCCCAGACCAACCUGGGGGGGGGGGUACUGUCAUGUCUACUGCUGUUUCUCCCGUUCGUCGCCGGAGUACUAACCAACGGUCCUGGGAUUCAUCAUUACGUACAGCUGCUGAUCAUUAUGAUUCACACCUGGACUCCAUUACCUCCCCUUUAUCUGUCCCUCGUUCAUUCCUCAGUCGGUAUUGUUCAUGCUAUGUUGCCACAUACACUGUCUCGUUUCAUGUUUAAUAAAACAAACGUUGCACCUGC